This 253-nucleotide ribosomal RNA is filed under the name uncultured bacterium. RNAcentral's name for it is "partial 16S ribosomal RNA". It matches the Rfam family "Bacterial small subunit ribosomal RNA", at positions 524 to 776 of the family's 1533-position model. The record is from RNAcentral.
UACAGAGGUCUCAAGCGUUGUUCGGAUUCAUUGGGCGUAAAGGGUGCGUAGGUGGCGUCGUAAGUCGGGUGUGAAAUCUCGGGGCUUAACUCCGAAACUGCAUUCGAUACUGCGGUGCUUGAGGACUGGAGAGGAGACUGGAAUUUACGGUGUAGCAGUGAAAUGCGUAGAGAUCGUAAGGAAGACCAGUGGCGAAGGCGGGUCUCUGGAAAGUUCCUGACGCUGAGGCACGAAGGUCAGGGGAGCAAACGGG